Molecule: long non-coding RNA, 286 nt
Filed under: Elaeis guineensis (African oil palm)
Lineage: Eukaryota; Viridiplantae; Streptophyta; Magnoliopsida; Arecales; Arecaceae
Description: long non-coding RNA (EGUI_LNC027756)
Source: RNAcentral
UGUACCCCGGUCCACGGUGGACCGUGUGGACCGCAUGGGCAUUUCGCACGCAUUUCUCACGGUCCAUGAUACUAUUUCAUAGACCGGAGUGCGAUCGGAGGGCCCAGGUGACUCCCGGUCUUGAUCCAACGGUCUGGGACUUGAUUUGGAUUGAUUAAGGAGUCCUAAACCUAAUCUAAGUCAUGUUUAACCCUUUUAAAAGGGUCUGUGAGGCACAGAAGAAGGCAGUGGUUUGGUUUUGCACUGUGGAUGCCGUACGGAACCGAGGAAGAAGCAUGCGUUGCUG